AGUGAACGCUGGCGGUAGGCCUAACACAUGCAAGUCGAACGGCAGCACAGUAAGAGCUUGCUCUUACGGGUGGCGAGUGGCGGACGGGUGAGGAAUACAUCGGAAUCUACUUUUUCGUGGGGGAUAACGUAGGGAAACUUACGCUAAUACCGCAUACGACCUACGGGUGAAAGCAGGGGAUCUUCGGACCUUGCGCGAUUGAAUGAGCCGAUGUCGGAUUAGCUAGUUGGCGGGGUAAAGGCCCACCAAGGCGACGAUCCGUAGCUGGUCUGAGAGGAUGAUCAGCCACACUGGAACUGAGACACGGUCCAGACUCCUACGGGAGGCAGCAGUGGGGAAUAUUGGACAAUGGGCGCAAGCCUGAUCCAGCCAUACCGCGUGGGUGCAGAAGGCCUUCGGGUUGUAAAGCCGUUUUGUUGGGAAAGAAAAGCAGCAGGUUAAUACCCCGCUGUUCUGACGGUACCCAAAGAAUAAGCACCGGCUAACUUCGUG
Molecule: ribosomal RNA, 492 nt
Filed under: uncultured bacterium
Lineage: Bacteria
Description: partial 16S ribosomal RNA
Rfam family: Bacterial small subunit ribosomal RNA
Source: RNAcentral